Molecule: ribosomal RNA, 429 nt
Filed under: Gemmatimonadota bacterium
Lineage: Bacteria; Pseudomonadati; Gemmatimonadota
Description: Gemmatimonadetes bacterium partial 16S ribosomal RNA
Rfam family: Bacterial small subunit ribosomal RNA
Source: RNAcentral
UAGGGAAUCUUCGGCAAUGGACGAAAGUCUGACCGAGCAACGCCGCGUGAGUGAAGAAGGUUUUCGGAUCGUAAAACUCUGUUGUUAGAGAAGAACAAGGACGUUAGUAACUGAACGUCCCCUGACGGUAUCUAACCAGAAAGCCACGGCUAACUACGUGCCAGCAGCCGCGGUAAUACGUAGGUGGCAAGCGUUGUCCGGAUUUAUUGGGCGUAAAGCGAGCGCAGGCGGUUUCUUAAGUCUGAUGUGAAAGCCCCCGGCUCAACCGGGGAGGGUCAUUGGAAACUGGGAGACUUGAGUGCAGAAGAGGAGAGUGGAAUUCCAUGUGUAGCGGUGAAAUGCGUAGAUAUAUGGAGGAACUCCAGUGGCGAAGGCGGCUCUCUGGUCUGUAACUGACGCUGAGGCUCGAAAGCGUGGGGAGCAAACAGG